CCCAGCACGGGGAGGUAGUGACGAAAAAUAACGAUACGGGACUCAUCCGAGGCCCCGUAAUCGGAAUGAGUACAAUUUAAAACUUUUCCCGAGGAUCAAUUGGAGGGUAAGUCUGGUGCCAGCAGCCGCGGUAAUUCCAGCUCCAAUAGCGUAUAUUAAAGUUGUUGCGGUUAAAAAGCUCGUAGUCGAAUCUGUGUCCCGCGCCGCUGGUUCAUCGCUCGCGGUGUUCAACUGGCGUGUCUCGCGGGACGUCCUGCCGGUGGGCGCUCGUAUCGUUUCGGCGGUGCGUGGCCCAACUCGUAGCCGUCUCGCGCGGUUGCGAAUCCCAUCGCGGUGCUCUUUAUUGAGUGUCGAGGUGGGCCGGCACGUUUACUUUGAACAAAUUAGAGUGCUUAAAGCAGGCCAAUUUUGCCUGAAUAUUGUGUGCAUGGAAUAAUGAAAUAGGACCUCGGUUCUAUUUUGUUGGUUUUCGGAACCCCGAGGUAAUGAUUAAUAGGAACGGAUGGGGGCAUUCGUAUUGCGACGUUAGAGGUGAAAUUCUUGGAUCGUCGCAAGACGGACAGAAGCGAAAGCAUUUGCCAAAAACGCUUUCAUUGAUCAAGAACGAAAGUUAGAGGUUCGAAGGCGAUCAGAUACCGCCCUAGUUCUAACCAUAAACGAUGCCAGCUAGCGAUCCGCCGACGUUCCUCCGAUGACUCGGCGGGCAGCUUCCGGGAAACCAAAGCUUUUGGGUUCCGGGGGAAGUAUGGUUGCAAAGCUGAAACUUAAAGGAAUUGACGGAAGGGCACCACCAGGAGUGGAGCCUGCGGCUUAAUUUGACUCAACACGGGACACCUCACCAGGCCCGGACACCGGAAGGAUUGACAGAUUGAUAGCUCUUUCUUGAUUCGGUGGGUGGUGGUGCAUGG
Molecule: ribosomal RNA, 908 nt
Filed under: Philhygra iterans
Lineage: Eukaryota; Metazoa; Arthropoda; Insecta; Coleoptera; Staphylinidae
Description: SSU rRNA
Rfam family: Eukaryotic small subunit ribosomal RNA
Source: RNAcentral